RNAcentral lists this transfer RNA (66 nucleotides) under Cherax sp. HG-2014a. RNAcentral's name for it is "tRNA-Met". The record is from RNAcentral. Lineage: Eukaryota; Metazoa; Arthropoda; Malacostraca; Decapoda; Parastacidae.
UAUAAAGAUAAGCUAAAAUUAAGCUAAUGGGCCCAUACCUCAUUUAUGAGACUAAUCUCUCUUUAU